GUCCAGACUCCUACGGGAGGCAGCAGUGGGGAAUAUUGCACAAUGGGGGAAACCCUGAUGCAGCGACGCCGCGUGAGUGAAGAAGUAUUUCGGUAUGUAAAGCUCUAUCAGCAGGGAAGAAGAAGGACGGUACCUGAGUAAGAAGCCCCGGCUAACUACGUGCCAGCAGCCGCGGUAAUACGUAGGGGGCAAGCGUUAUCCGGAUUCACUGGGUGUAAAGGGAGCGUAGACGGCGACGCAAGUCUGGAGUGAAAGCCCGGGGCCCAACCCCGGGACUGCUCUGGAAACUGCGUCGCUGGAGUACGGGAGGGGCAGGCGGAAUUCCUGGUGUAGCGGUGAAAUGCGUAGAUAUCAGGAGGAACACCGGCGGCGAAGGCGGCCUGCUGGACCGUGACUGACGUUGAGGCUCGAGAGCGUGGGGAGCAAACAGGAUUAGAUACCCUCGUAAG
This 449-nucleotide ribosomal RNA is filed under the name uncultured bacterium. Its description in RNAcentral is "bacterial SSU rRNA". It matches the Rfam family "Bacterial small subunit ribosomal RNA", at positions 329 to 793 of the family's 1533-position model. The record is from RNAcentral.